Long non-coding RNA from Halichondria panicea, 1657 nucleotides. RefSeq lists it as uncharacterized. The transcript has 3 exons. The record is from RefSeq and is a predicted model, not a curated record. NCBI's taxonomy places the organism in Eukaryota, Metazoa, Porifera, Demospongiae, Suberitida, Halichondriidae.
CCGUAUAGAGCGGUUGCAUCGCGCGUCAUCCACCCACGCACAACAGUUUUUGGAGGACAACCUCCAAAAACACAGGUGUAAACAAUGUAAAAGUACACGAAGAACUGGACACCAUUUGGCACAGUAGAACUAUGAUCCAGGAUACAGAGUGCUCUAGUAAUUGUAACUGUCAGUCUACCUUAGCUUACAGAGAAGGUUGAGUGUACUAGCUGAACAAGCUGAGCUCUGUGUGAAGAUGGUUACCAUAAUUAUGUUCAAGUGAAGAGGGUGUAGGAGUGCCCGAUCAUGUCACGUCAGGCAUUGAUCAUUGCUGGCUGGGAGGAUUGUGUGGGACACGAUCACCACAAUAUUAAGUACUCUUCGUGUACUAUGCUGUAAUUACAGCGCCAACUCUGACUGAGUGCCAUUAUUUAAGUCCUCCAACGGUUGCUGUAAUUAAAAGAUGUGAUGUUAGAUCCAAGGCAGUAGGCUUUUCUUUUAUUAUGCACAUGCAUUUGAUUCGUACCGUAGAGCUGCUGUAAAAUACAGAGACAAAAAAUCAAACCGUACAGUAGAUCCACUGCAUACUACUAUAGCUAUAAUAGCUGUGCGCUUAAGCGCCACCAUAAUAUUUUUGGGAAGUGUUGGCUAGAGUAAUCAGCACGGCACACACAGUUGGACAUAGACAAAAGACAAAGCACAUGGACGGACUGACACACAGCUAUAAAUAGACAAGCUAUAAAUAGAAGAGACACGCAGGGCCUCCUUACAAUAGAACAAUAGAACAAAAGCACACAUACAGGAAACAAUUAAGGGCUAAUCAUACAUUCCUAACAAACACCAUAGUAACUAACUAAUAAGAAUAAGUACAAGUGUUAAGUUUUUACAAUAGGAAGUUUGUGUAAAAAUGAUUUGGAAGCUGUAAACUACGCUCACUGCACACUCAGUUUAAGGUGGUAAAUUUCCAAAAAUAAGUGUAACAGUUUCCUUUGAGGAUAGAGUGGUGCGGGGGCCAUUGUUUACCUUACGUUACACUUAGCUAUACCAUAGAUAGUAAAGGAAAGGGAUUGGAAACGCAUUACGUGCACCAAUGUUUUCAACAAAAGUUGGAUGGUACAAUCCUACUUACGAUUUUUAAUGUUAUUCAUUGUUAGUCAAAAGGUCAUUUGUUGUUUUUUGAGCUAUAUUUUUGGACUUCAAGAUCAUUCUUUCAGCGUUCAAGCCAAUCAAGUAAGCUGUUUGGGUACAUAAAAACAUAAGCUUUCCAAUGGUAGUGGUCCCAUAAAGUUUGGAUGGUGUAUUGCACCCCAAAAAGUGUUUUUAAACCUUGAAAGUUAGGGAUGUGAAGCAAAAAGCUCGUAAGAAAAGGUGCAAGUCCUCCUCAACCAUUAACCAGAUCCCACUCUCUCUCAACAAAACAAAAGCAUCUAGGAAGACAUGAAUUCAACAAUGUCAUCCAUAAGACACGUAGUAACCUCACCUCAUACUAAGUAUACAUGUACGUGUUUAUUUUUGCUUGUGUGUGUAUACACUGUUUUUGUUUUUAUUCUCUCUGCAACCACUUUAAUAUUAUAAUUAUAACAUUCUUAGAGUACAAUACACUUAUCAUGCUUAUGAUUAGUGUCAAGACUCUAGUUUAGUAAGAUAAUAAACACAUUUUUGUCGUGAAUAAAAUAAA